AGGUGGGAGUCGGUCGGCCGGAAGUGGGAGGAGCAUAACAGGAAGCGCGGAUUUACGAUAUUAGAGACCGAUGUUUGCCAAGAUGACCAGUGUUGAAAGCCUGACCCCAGCUGGACUUUACUGAAAGAAGAAACAACAUUUGACUCCAGUGCAAGGCAGUCUAAGAUGAUUUCCUUCAAAACCUUUUUGACGGCCCCUAUAGACACCCAGAUUCAUCUCACCUGCACCUCGGAGUCUUAUAUAAAAUGACCCCGGAAAAAACAGCACUGCAACCUUAAACCCAAACAGCUCAAAAACACCUCAUGCAGUUGUAUGUGAGAGAUGUCGCCUGUCCACAGAUCUUACCUGUACCUCUUGGCAUCACCUGCUUGUC
Boleophthalmus pectinirostris (great blue-spotted mudskipper) is the source of this 373-nucleotide long non-coding RNA. RefSeq lists it as uncharacterized. The record is from RefSeq and is a predicted model, not a curated record. The transcript is spliced from 5 exons. Lineage: Eukaryota; Metazoa; Chordata; Actinopteri; Gobiiformes; Gobiidae.